AAACGACUAUCGGCAACGGAUAUCUCGGCUCUCGCAUCGAUGAAGAACGUAGCGAAAUGCGAUACUUGGUGUGAAUUGCAGAAUCCCGUGAACCAUCGAGUCUUUGAACGCAAGUUGCGCCCCAAGCCUUCUGGCCGAGGGCACGUCUGCCUGGGUGUCACA
RNAcentral lists this ribosomal RNA (162 nucleotides) under Petiniotia purpurascens. Its description in RNAcentral is "5.8S ribosomal RNA". It matches the Rfam family "5.8S ribosomal RNA". Rfam says of the family: 5.8S ribosomal RNA (5.8S rRNA) is a component of the large subunit of the eukaryotic ribosome. Lineage: Eukaryota; Viridiplantae; Streptophyta; Magnoliopsida; Brassicales; Brassicaceae. The record is from RNAcentral.